UUGGAGUACUCACUGCCGUCUCUUUUGCUAUCUUUAACAGAUGGAAUAAAAGGCGGUAAUCCAGAUCUGUUUUCCUGAACUCACCACAUCAAAGACACAACGUAGAGCUUGAGGCUGGACCUGUCACACAUGCUGAGGUUCUCUCUGGGUACUCUGACUUCCUCCCAAAGAUCAAAAAUAUGACUAUUUUGCUGAUUUGGCAUUUCCCUGUUUGUCUUCCCUGUUCUCUCACCCUCCACACUGCUGCCUCCCAGCCAGUCAAGGGAAAUGCAGCUGUCUGUCUUAAUUCUUGUACUGCUAGAGGUCUCUUUCUAUAAAGAGGGAGUUCUCUGCUUCACUGUCACGCACCACAUUGUGCAUGCACAGGGUGGGGAAAUGAAUUAAAUAUUCAAUGCAAU
This is a long non-coding RNA of Poecilia latipinna (sailfin molly), 398 nucleotides long. RefSeq lists it as uncharacterized. The transcript has 2 exons. Lineage: Eukaryota; Metazoa; Chordata; Actinopteri; Cyprinodontiformes; Poeciliidae. The record is from RefSeq and is a predicted model, not a curated record.